RNAcentral lists this non-coding RNA (179 nucleotides) under Tissierellia bacterium. RNAcentral describes it as "6S RNA". It matches the Rfam family "6S / SsrS RNA". From Rfam's summary of the family: E. coli 6S RNA was the first non coding RNA to be sequenced, but its function was unknown until recently. The record is from RNAcentral. Lineage: Bacteria; Bacillati; Bacillota; Tissierellia.
UGUUCUCAGAUCGGUGUGUUAACCUGUAUAAUUAAACCUACGCUAAUUAUAAGGGACAGCGUUUGUUCGAACGUGGAUGACAAGCCCUCUACGAAGGGAAGUCAGAAAACAAUUGACAGCUAACCCACCUUCACAAACAGAAGGUCUUAAAUUAGAGGGUUAACUGCCGCUGAGAAUGA